Molecule: ribosomal RNA, 145 nt
Filed under: uncultured bacterium
Lineage: Bacteria
Description: partial 16S rRNA
Rfam family: Bacterial small subunit ribosomal RNA
Source: RNAcentral
UGGGGGAAGUUUUCCGUCAAUGGGCGGAAAGCCUGACGGAGCAAUGCCGCGUGGAGGUGGAAGGCCUACGGGUCGUCAACUUCUUUUCUCGGAGAAGAAACAAUGACGGUAUCUGAGGAAUAAGCAUCGGCUAACUCUGUGCCAG